RNAcentral lists this ribosomal RNA (434 nucleotides) under uncultured bacterium. Its description in RNAcentral is "bacterial SSU rRNA". It matches the Rfam family "Bacterial small subunit ribosomal RNA", at positions 29 to 507 of the family's 1533-position model. The record is from RNAcentral.
AACGAACGCUGGCGGCAUGCCUAACACAUGCAAGUCGAACGAAGCCUUCGGGCUUAGUGGCGCACGGGUGCGUAACGCGUGGGAACCUACCAUCAGGUUCGGAAUAACAGUUAGAAAUGACUGCUAAUACCGGAUAAUGUCUUCGGACCAAAGAUUUAUCGCCUUUUGAUGGGCCCGCGUUGGAUUAGCUAGUUGGUGGGGUAAAGGCCUACCAAGGCGACGAUCCAUAGCUGGUCUGAGAGGAUGAUCAGCCACACUGGGACUGAGACACGGCCCAGACUCCUACGGGAGGCAGCAGUGGGGAAUAUUGGACAAUGGGCGAAAGCCUGAUCCAGCAAUGCCGCGUGAGUGAUGAAGGCCUUAGGGUUGUAAAGCUCUUUUACCUAGGGAUGAUAAUGACAGUACCUGGAGAAUAAGCUCCGGCUAACUCCGUG